RNAcentral lists this ribosomal RNA (253 nucleotides) under uncultured bacterium. RNAcentral describes it as "partial 16S ribosomal RNA". It matches the Rfam family "Bacterial small subunit ribosomal RNA", at positions 524 to 776 of the family's 1533-position model. The record is from RNAcentral.
UACGGAGGGGGCGAGCGUUAUUCGGAAUUAUUGGGCGUAAAGGGCGCGUAGGCGGCUGGGCAAGUCAAAGGUGAAAUCCCUCGGCUCAACUGAGGAACUGCCUUUGAAACUGCCUGGCUUGAGGCCGGGAGGGGGUAGCGGAAUUCCCAGUGUAGCGGUGAAAUGCGUAGAUAUUGGGAGGAACACCAGUGGCGAAGGCGGCUACCUGGACCGGUUCUGACGCUGAUGCGCGAAAGCGUGGGUAGCAGACAGG